CAACUGGGGAAUUUAGAAAGUCUGCAACAACUGAAUAUAAGCUACAAUAACUUCAAUAAUUUACUCCCACUUGAACUGGGGAAGUUGGUGAGUCUGCGACUACUAAACUAGUGGAUGAAAAAUUCACAGAAAGACAAAUAGCAUUAGUGGCCAC
Molecule: long non-coding RNA, 154 nt
Organism: Magnolia sinica
Lineage: Eukaryota; Viridiplantae; Streptophyta; Magnoliopsida; Magnoliales; Magnoliaceae
Exons: 3
Source: RefSeq, a predicted model, not a curated record